This 485-nucleotide ribosomal RNA is filed under the name uncultured Oscillospiraceae bacterium. RNAcentral describes it as "bacterial SSU rRNA". It matches the Rfam family "Bacterial small subunit ribosomal RNA", at positions 40 to 507 of the family's 1533-position model. Lineage: Bacteria; Bacillati; Bacillota; Clostridia; Eubacteriales; Oscillospiraceae. The record is from RNAcentral.
CGGCCGGUGCGUUAACAACAACUGCAAAGGUCGAAACGGGGCGACCCCGUCGAAGGAGUUUUACGGUACGAACUGAUGGGACGUGCUUAGUGGCGGACGGGUGAGUAACGACGUGAGUAACCUGCCUUGGAUGGGGAUAACAGCUGGAAACAGCUGCUAAUACCGCAUAAUGCAUUGGGUCGCAUGGCUCUGACUGCCAAAGAUUUAUCGCUCUGAGAUGGACUCGCGUCUGAUUAGCUAGUUGCGGGGUAACGGCCGACCAAGGCGACGAUCAGUAGCCGGACUGAGAGGUUGGCCGGCCACAUUGGGACUGAGACACGGCCCAGACUCCUACGGGAGGCAGCAGUGGGGGAAUAUUGGGCAAUGGGCGCAAGCCUGACCCAGCAACGCCGCGUGAAGGAAGAAGGCUUUCGGGUUGUAAACUUCUUUUCUCAGGGACGAAGAAAGUGACGGUACCUGAGGAAUAAGCCACGGCUAACUACGUG